UACGAAGGGGGCGAGCGUUGUUCGGAUUUACUGGGCGUAAAGAGCUCGUAGGCGGUUUGUCGCGUCUGCUGUGAAAACUGGAGGCUCAACCUCCAGCCUGCAGUGGGUACGGGCAGACUAGAGUGCGGUAGGGGAGAUUGGAAUUCCUGGUGUAGCGGUGGAAUGCGCAGAUAUCAGGAGGAACACCGAUGGCGAAGGCAGAUCUCUGGGCCGUAACUGACGCUGAGGAGCGAAAGCAUGGGGGAGCGAACAGG
Molecule: ribosomal RNA, 254 nt
Filed under: uncultured bacterium
Lineage: Bacteria
Description: partial 16S ribosomal RNA
Rfam family: Bacterial small subunit ribosomal RNA
Source: RNAcentral